UCUCUGGUUAGCUGUAUCCUCAGCUAUCAAUUCAUUGCCACGGUUUUACAGGUAAUCUAGUACUGAUUUCUCUCUAGAUUUUUAACAAUCAUUCAGCACAAGGAUCUGAUUGCUUGAUUUUUUUUUUUUUUAAAUUAUGUCUUCUAAAGUUGAGUUUGGUGUGUAAUUUAGACUGACCAAUACUUACAUGUUCUUACAAGAACAUUGAAAUGUGCUUGGUUAACAUUUAGUUGUGUUGUUGCAAGGCUCCAGAGGAUAGGUGGUGGGGUCGGUAUUGAACCGAGCUGAAGAGCUGACAGUUGAGCCGAUGUAGAUUGCGAGCGAAUCUGCAAAAGAAGACCAAGAAUCGAUAGGGUGUCCUCCGAUUUAGGACUCUUCGAUUCUUAAGUUAGUCGGGGUCUUGAGAACAUGUAGUGGAAAUGGAGAAGUAGAAAGCAGGAAGUAAGAGAUUAAAAAUGCAAAGAAGUGGAGAGAACUCUGAUUGUCCUUAGUAAAAAAUUUAGCAGAGUUUUGUCUCUAUGAAUUCAGACUUACCCUCCGGAGAGUUUUCUAUCCCUUCUUAUAUAAAGAGAGCUUGUUCAGGCCUCCAAGAAAGUUUGUUAGGCCAUUAUGGAUUUGUUAAGCUAUUAGUUUGUUACAACAGAAUGGCCAGCUAUGUAGAGAUAAUGAUGUGUUUGUCCACGUGGUAAUGAAUUAGAAUGUAGCAGGAAGAUAAUUAAUGCUGAGCUAGAUGAUAGCUGCCGAAUAAUUCUGUACUUCUGGUGUUGCAUCGGUAAAUGACCGACGUCAAAUAGUUGACAUCGAUGACUAUCUAAACUGAGUAUCAUGGCUUUAGUAUUAAAAAUCAUGUCGGUCGAGCACUGAAAUAAAGUGUUGCAGGUCGAUCAUAGAUCGAGAUGAGCAUCUCGCCAACCAGUAGUUUUGGAUUAAACCAACUAACAAGUAAUACUGCAGAGGCAGAUCGGUAAUAGGUUGAUAUAAUCUAAAAGUUCAUUUAAUCUAGAUAAUAAUUAAUCUGCUGUCACAUAUUCAGAUGGUGAUG
RNAcentral lists this long non-coding RNA (1042 nucleotides) under Elaeis guineensis (African oil palm). RNAcentral describes it as "long non-coding RNA (EGUI_LNC016536)". Lineage: Eukaryota; Viridiplantae; Streptophyta; Magnoliopsida; Arecales; Arecaceae. The record is from RNAcentral.